UUCGGGGGACGAGGGUGACAGGUGGUGCAUGGUUGUCGUCGGCUCGUGUCGUGAGAUGUUGGGUUAAGUCCCGCAACGAGCGCAACCCUCGACCUUAGUUGCCAGCAUUCAGUUGGGCACUCUAAGGUGACUGCCGGCUAAAAGUCGGAGGAAGUGGGGAUGACGUCAAAUCAUCAUGCCCCUUAUGACCUGGGCUACACACGUGCUACAAUGGGCGGUACCAAAGGGUCCCGCGGAACCCGCGACGGGGGUAGGCCCAAUCCCAAAAAGCCGCUCUCAGUUCGGAUUGCAGGCUGCAACUCGCCUGCAUGAAGCCGGAAUCGCUAGUAAUCGCGGAUCAGCAUGCCCGCGGUCGAAUACGUUCCCGGGCCUU
RNAcentral lists this ribosomal RNA (373 nucleotides) under uncultured Anoxybacillus sp. Its description in RNAcentral is "bacterial SSU rRNA". It matches the Rfam family "Bacterial small subunit ribosomal RNA", at positions 1016 to 1382 of the family's 1533-position model. Lineage: Bacteria; Bacillati; Bacillota; Bacilli; Caryophanales; Anoxybacillaceae. The record is from RNAcentral.